UUGCUUCGACGGCGGCGAAAGAGUGGCUGUGUGCACUGUGCUAUUAGAACACCACGAUGGUACGUACCUACAAACGGAAAACUGAGAGAGGGAAAAUAUCCGAAACGUUAUUACGUCAAGCUGCCAAU
Pararge aegeria (speckled wood butterfly) is the source of this 128-nucleotide long non-coding RNA. RefSeq lists it as uncharacterized. The record is from RefSeq and is a predicted model, not a curated record. The transcript is spliced from 2 exons. NCBI's taxonomy places the organism in Eukaryota, Metazoa, Arthropoda, Insecta, Lepidoptera, Nymphalidae.